UGGGUAAAUAAAUGCAGCGGGCUUGUUUAUCACUUGUCGUUCCAUUCAGCUGAUAAUAAUCAUAACAUAUGAGCAUUCGGAACUAUUCAUUCACACACUCGAGCUGACUGGAUGGUCAGUUUAACUGGAAGGCAUCUUCUGUCAGUUGUAGCGAAAAAAAGUGCGGCAAGAUUUGCAUAAUUUAGCAAAUGAUUGUGCGACGUCUGUUGCUCGAUUUGAGAGCUUCACCGGACAGAAUUGCACCAGUUGCAUCCUAGCUGUGCUGUAUCUCGAUAGUAGCAAUCGUAUUAUUUAGUUGCAGUGUGCUAGUUUAAUACGUGAAGAGGUUUUAUUUACGACUUGAAUGUUAUGAUGAGCUUUUUCCUACCGGUGCGGUCCGUCCUCCCACAUUGGCUGACGAUUGAGUGUCGGAAGGUUCAAGUGCAAGAACGACACUGUUCACGACUUUGCACAGUUCAGUGCAUUUGCCAAACACGAAACAUUAAUUUAUUCGUUAAUUAUUUGUUCAUAACAGCUGUGGAAAGUGUUGUUUUAUUUGUAUCUUGGAUGUUUUAUAGUCGGUUCGUUGGCACGUGAUAAAAUUUCUGAUAAUCUUUCAUGACACUUUGUUAAUAACACUUUCGCCACGGCACUGUUGCUUUUUCAAGAUCGACGACAGACGAUGCUUGUCGCCGCAUCUCCGUAUUAUUGGAAUAUUUUGAUUGAAAACUAUGAAAUUAAAAAGCAGUGAAUUUCCAUAUGCAAAGAUGUGAGUUCAAUUAAACGGAAACUCCGUAUAGCGUUAAUUGCGGAAUGUAUUUCGUUCGAUACUGAGCUAAUAAUUUAUAACAAUAAAACUUUAGAGUUGAAGGAUGUCUUUUGUCGUAAAAUCCAACGAGAUGUACACGCGCUUUGUUUAAUCGGAUGAUGUCUGAGAUUUGGUUUCCUUAGAGCAAAUUCAGCAGCUGGAAGUUUUAUACGCAACUGCAAACAAUGUACAACAAAGCGCAUCUACAGCAACUAGCAACGAAAUCAACAACAAUACCACCGAUGCGGCAAUGGAUGACGAGACGAACCACGAACGAAGUGCCCCUCAAUCCUCGCAGGAGGAAAAUGGAAGCUCCUUUCCCCCUAGAAAAAGGGUGACAACGAGAUCCAAUACAAAAAAAAAUCUUUUAUUUAAAAACUCAGCUAAAUCGGCCACGUAAAGCUUGUACGCAAAUAGGCCUGAAUAAAAUAUCUUUUAAAUAAAAAAAAAAAUAGA
Long non-coding RNA from Malaya genurostris, 1243 nucleotides. RefSeq lists it as uncharacterized. The transcript has 3 exons. The record is from RefSeq and is a predicted model, not a curated record. Lineage: Eukaryota; Metazoa; Arthropoda; Insecta; Diptera; Culicidae.